This 1344-nucleotide ribosomal RNA is filed under the name metagenome. Its description in RNAcentral is "bacterial LSU rRNA". It matches the Rfam family "Bacterial large subunit ribosomal RNA", at positions 1562 to 2925 of the family's 2925-position model. The record is from RNAcentral.
CGUGAUGCGGACCGAAUUAAGAGAAGGGAAGUGUGUGAGCCAUGCGUCAAGAAAAGCCGCUAUUGUUUUACUUAAGCCCGUACCGUAAACCGACACAGGUGGAUGAGGAGAGAAUCCUAAGGCCGACGGGAGAAGCAUUGUUAAGGAACUCGGCAAAAUGACUCCGUAACUUCGGGAGAAGGAGUGCCAGCGAGAGCUGGCCGCAGAGAAUUGGCCCAAGCAACUGUUUAGCAAAAACACAGGUCUAUGCAAAACCGUAAGGUGAAGUAUAUGGGCUGACGCCUGCCCGGUGCUGGAAGGUUAAGAGGAGAGGUUAGCGGUAACGCGAAGCUUUGAAUUUAAGCCCCAGUAAACGGCGGCCGUAACGAUAACGGUCCUAAGGUAGCGAAAUUCCUUGUCGGGUAAGUUCCGACCCGCACGAAAGGCGUAAUGAUUUGGGCACUGUCUCAACAAUGCACCCGGUGAAAUUGAAAUACCAGUGAAGAUGCUGGUUACCUGCGCCAGGACGGAAAGACCCCAUGGAGCUUUACUCCAGCUUGAUACUGGGAUUCGGUAUUGCAUGUACAGGAUAGGUGGGAGGCUAGGAAGUGAUAACGCCAGUUGUCACGGAGCCGCUGUUGGGAUACCACCCUUGCAGUAUUGGAUUUCUAACCAGCGACCAUGAACUGGUCGGGGGACAAUGUCAGGUGGGGAGUUUGACUGGGGCGGUCGCCUCCGAAAGGGUAUCGGAGGCGCUCAAAGGUUCCCUCAGAAUGGACGGAAACCAUUCGAAGAGUGCAAAGGCAGAAGGGAGCUUGACUGCGACACCGACGGGUGGAGCAGGUACGAAAGUAGGACUUAGUGAUCCGGUGGUAUAAAGUGGGAUUGCCAUCGCUCAACGGAUAAAAGCUACCCUGGGAUAACAGGCUUAUCACUCCCAAGAGUUCACAUCGACGGAGUGGUUUGGCACCUCGAUGUCGGCUCAUCGCAUCCUGGGGCUGAAGUAGGUCCCAAGGGUUGGGCUGUUCGCCCAUUAAAGCGGUACGCGAGCUGGGUUCAGAACGUCGUGAGACAGUUCGGUCCCUAUCCGGCGUGGGCGUAGGAUAUUUGAGAGGAGCUGUCCUUAGUACGAGAGGACCGGGAUGGACUGGCCGCUGGUGUAUCUGUUGCAUACCAAAUGCAUGGCAGAGUAGCCAAGCCGGGACGGGAUAAACGCUGAAGGCAUCUAAGCGUGAAGCCCCCCUCAAGAUGAGAUAUCCCUACGUAAGUAGUAAGACCCCUUGAAGACGACGAGGUAGAUAGGUCAGAGGUGGAAGUACAGUAAUGUAUGGAGCUGACUGAUACUAAUCGGUCGAGGGCAUGACC